Molecule: ribosomal RNA, 491 nt
Filed under: uncultured bacterium
Lineage: Bacteria
Description: partial 16S ribosomal RNA
Rfam family: Bacterial small subunit ribosomal RNA
Source: RNAcentral
GAUGAACGCUGGCUACAGGCUUAACACAUGCAAGUCGAGGGGAAACGACGGGGAAGCUUGCUUCCCCGGGCGUCGACCGGCGCACGGGUGAGUAACGCGUAUCCAACCUGCCUCUGACUGAGGGAUAACCCGUCGAAAGUCGGCCUAAUACCUCAUGGCUUCUUCUGCGGGCAUCCAACGACGAUUAAAGAUUUCAUCGGUCAGGGAUGGGGAUGCGUCUGAUUAGCUUGUUGGCGGGGUAACGGCCCACCAAGGCUACGAUCAGUAGGGGUUCUGAGAGGCAGGUACCCAACAUUGGAACUGAGACACGGACCAAACUCCUACGGGAGGCAGCAGUGAGGAAUAUUGGUCAAUGGGCGGGAGCCUGAAACAGCCAAGUAGCGUGCAGGAUGACGGGCCUAUGGGUUGUAAACUGCUUUUAUGCGGGGAUAAAGUGAGGGACGUGUCCUUCAUUGAAGGUACCGAAUGAAUAAGGACCGGCUAAUUACGUG